Molecule: ribosomal RNA, 1539 nt
Filed under: Klebsiella pneumoniae
Lineage: Bacteria; Pseudomonadati; Pseudomonadota; Gammaproteobacteria; Enterobacterales; Enterobacteriaceae
Description: bacterial SSU rRNA
Rfam family: Bacterial small subunit ribosomal RNA
Source: RNAcentral
AAAUUGAAGAGUUUGAUCAUGGCUCAGAUUGAACGCUGGCGGCAGGCCUAACACAUGCAAGUCGAGCGGUAGCACAGAGAGCUUGCUCUCGGGUGACGAGCGGCGGACGGGUGAGUAAUGUCUGGGAAACUGCCUGAUGGAGGGGGAUAACUACUGGAAACGGUAGCUAAUACCGCAUAAUGUCGCAAGACCAAAGUGGGGGACCUUCGGGCCUCAUGCCAUCAGAUGUGCCCAGAUGGGAUUAGCUAGUAGGUGGGGUAACGGCUCACCUAGGCGACGAUCCCUAGCUGGUCUGAGAGGAUGACCAGCCACACUGGAACUGAGACACGGUCCAGACUCCUACGGGAGGCAGCAGUGGGGAAUAUUGCACAAUGGGCGCAAGCCUGAUGCAGCCAUGCCGCGUGUGUGAAGAAGGCCUUCGGGUUGUAAAGCACUUUCAGCGGGGAGGAAGGCGAUAAGGUUAAUAACCUUGUCGAUUGACGUUACCCGCAGAAGAAGCACCGGCUAACUCCGUGCCAGCAGCCGCGGUAAUACGGAGGGUGCAAGCGUUAAUCGGAAUUACUGGGCGUAAAGCGCACGCAGGCGGUCUGUCAAGUCGGAUGUGAAAUCCCCGGGCUCAACCUGGGAACUGCAUUCGAAACUGGCAGGCUAGAGUCUUGUAGAGGGGGGUAGAAUUCCAGGUGUAGCGGUGAAAUGCGUAGAGAUCUGGAGGAAUACCGGUGGCGAAGGCGGCCCCCUGGACAAAGACUGACGCUCAGGUGCGAAAGCGUGGGGAGCAAACAGGAUUAGAUACCCUGGUAGUCCACGCCGUAAACGAUGUCGAUUUGGAGGUUGUGCCCUUGAGGCGUGGCUUCCGGAGCUAACGCGUUAAAUCGACCGCCUGGGGAGUACGGCCGCAAGGUUAAAACUCAAAUGAAUUGACGGGGCCCGCACAAGCGGUGGAGCAUGUGGUUUAAUUCGAUGCAACGCGAAGAACCUUACCUGGUCUUGACAUCCACAGAACUUUCCAGAGAUGGAUUGGUGCCUUCGGGAACUGUGAGACAGGUGCUGCAUGGCUGUCGUCAGCUCGUGUUGUGAAAUGUUGGGUUAAGUCCCGCAACGAGCGCAACCCUUAUCCUUUGUUGCCAGCGGUCCGGCCGGGAACUCAAAGGAGACUGCCAGUGAUAAACUGGAGGAAGGUGGGGAUGACGUCAAGUCAUCAUGGCCCUUACGACCAGGGCUACACACGUGCUACAAUGGCAUAUACAAAGAGAAGCGACCUCGCGAGAGCAAGCGGACCUCAUAAAGUAUGUCGUAGUCCGGAUUGGAGUCUGCAACUCGACUCCAUGAAGUCGGAAUCGCUAGUAAUCGUAGAUCAGAAUGCUACGGUGAAUACGUUCCCGGGCCUUGUACACACCGCCCGUCACACCAUGGGAGUGGGUUGCAAAAGAAGUAGGUAGCUUAACCUUCGGGAGGGCGCUUACCACUUUGUGAUUCAUGACUGGGGUGAAGUCGUAACAAGGUAACCGUAGGGGAACCUGCGGUUGGAUCACCUCCUUA